UUGGAGGGCAAGUCUGGUGCCAGCAGCCGCGGUAAUUCCAGCUCCAAUAGCGUAUAUUAAAGUUGUUGCAGUUAAAAAGCUCGUAGUUGAAUUUCGGGAUCAAUUUAUCGGUCGUGCCUAUGGUAUGAACUGGUACAAUUGGUUUCUCCCUUCUGACGAAGCAUGAUGUCAUUAAUUUGGUGUCGUGGGGAAUCAGGACUGUUACUUUGAAAAAAUUAGAGUGUUUAAAGCAAGCAUUAGCUUGAAUACAUUAGCAUGGAAUAAUGAAAUAGGACGUUUGAUCCUAUUUCGUUGGUUUCUAGGAUCGACGUAAUGAUUAAUAGGGAUAGUUGGGGGCAUUAGUAUUCAAUUGUCAGAGGUGAAAUUCUUGGAUUUAUUGAAGACUAACUACUGCGAAAGCAUUUGCCAAGGAUGUUUUCAUUAAUCAAGAACGAAAGUUAGGGGAUCGAAGACGAUCAGAUACCGUCGUAGUCUUAACCAUAAACUAUGCCGACUAGGGAUCGGAUGAUGUUAAUUUUUUAAUGACUCAUUCGGCGCCUUACGGGAAAC
Molecule: ribosomal RNA, 549 nt
Filed under: uncultured Glomeromycotina
Lineage: Eukaryota; Fungi; Glomeromycota
Description: SSU rRNA
Rfam family: Eukaryotic small subunit ribosomal RNA
Source: RNAcentral